UACAGGGGGUGCAAACGUUGCUCGGAAUCAUUGGGCGUAAAGCGCACGUAGGCGGUUCGUUAUGUCGGAUGUGAAAGCCCUUGGCUUAACCGAGGAAGUGCAUCCGAAACUGGCGAGCUAGAGUACUAAAGAGGAUCGCGGAAUUCCCGGUGUAGAGGUGAAAUUCGUAGAUAUCGGGAGGAACACCAGUGGCGAAGGCGGCGACCUGGACGGACACUGACGCUGAGACGCGAAAGCGUGGGGAGCAAACAGG
RNAcentral lists this ribosomal RNA (253 nucleotides) under uncultured bacterium. Its description in RNAcentral is "partial 16S ribosomal RNA". It matches the Rfam family "Bacterial small subunit ribosomal RNA", at positions 524 to 776 of the family's 1533-position model. The record is from RNAcentral.